This 330-nucleotide ribosomal RNA is filed under the name uncultured Candidatus Sumerlaeota bacterium. RNAcentral describes it as "bacterial SSU rRNA". It matches the Rfam family "Bacterial small subunit ribosomal RNA", at positions 29 to 351 of the family's 1533-position model. The record is from RNAcentral. Lineage: Bacteria; Candidatus Sumerlaeota.
AACGAACGCUGGCGGCAGGCUUCAUACAUGCAAGUCGCGCGAUUAAACCCAGCAAUGGGAUAUAAAGCGGCGAACGGGUGAGUAACAGGUGGAUAAUCUGCCUUUUGGUGGGGGAUAACGGCUGGAAACGGCCGCUAAUACCGCAUGUGGUUGCGGGCGCUAUGGCGUCUGCAAAGAAAGGGGCUUUACGGCCCUGCCAAGAGAUGAGUCCGCCCCCCAUUAGCUAGUUGGUGAGAUAAUAGCCCACCAAGGCUGUGAUGGGUAGCCGAGCUGAGAGGUUGAUCGGCCACACUGGAACUGAGACACGGUCCAGACACCUACGGGUGGCAG